Non-coding RNA from Nylanderia fulva, 1031 nucleotides. Lineage: Eukaryota; Metazoa; Arthropoda; Insecta; Hymenoptera; Formicidae. The record is from RefSeq and is a predicted model, not a curated record.
AAAAAUGUAAAUACCUUUAUUAUAAAACAAAUUCCACCUGUUAUUGAUGAUCCUAAAUGGGAAUCUUAUCCCAUUAAAUUUCAUGGAUAUUAUGAUUUAUUAGAAGAAGCUAGACAGAGAGCAACAAACUAUUCUUCAAAUAAGGAAAGCAAUAUAAAUGAAAUAAAGAAGUCCGCACAAGACAGUUGAAUAAAACUGUUUCUCACGAUGAGUCAGAAUCUGAUUCUGAUGACUCACGUUUAGUUAUACCAAAUCCACCAAAUCUUACUGUAAAUACAAAUGCCUCGCAAUCAAUUAACAAAAGUCAAUCUAUCGCAACUGUUAUUAAUUCAUCAGUUGUCAGCAAUGAUAUUGACCUGGAGAUUCUUGAUGGAAUUUUAGUAUCACUUAAAAGUAUACAGGAUGUACAUACGUUAAUAUCAGAUGGAUUCGAAAAAAUGGAAGGUCAUUUUAAGAAUAUAUAUACAGCUAUAACUACAGUUACAUUAGGAAUACAAGAAUGAAUACUAAAUGUUCAUUUAACAAAUAUAGAAAAACAAAAUAAUCAACAUAAAUCCAAAGCAUCUGUCACGGAUACAUCAAAUAUACAUCAAUUUUUUCCAUUUAAAAAUAUAAAUGAAGUAACAGCUUUUGAAAACCGUUUAUCAGAAAAUGUAGAUGAGUACAACAAAUUUCAUCUAAAUAGAACAAUAGAAAUUGUAUUUUUGGUAUGUUUUAUUUCUAAAGAUGCUGUAUAUAUCUCGCAUAGGCGGAAGGUCCGCCAAGGAAAAUUUAAUUCGCAUAUACCUUUAUUUUCCAAUGAAGUUGCCAAAGAAUCAUAUUGGAAAGGAUUACAAAAUCAUUUUAAAAUUAGUAGCUUAAAGUAUAUAUUAAUGGGAAUACUAGCAACAAUUUCCGGUCAACAUCAAUUCACAAGCAAAGAAUUUGAAGAUGUCACAAAAGAAUGGUUUCGCCAAGGUGGUCAGAGGCUUAGCAGACAAAAAGAUUCCGAAGAAACAAAUCCGCAAGUCAUUUAAAUGUUUCAGAUGCUU